Molecule: transfer RNA, 84 nt
Filed under: Deltaproteobacteria bacterium
Lineage: Bacteria; Pseudomonadati; Myxococcota; Myxococcia
Also listed under: 1 other name
Description: tRNA-Leu
Rfam family: tRNA
About the family: Transfer RNA (tRNA) molecules are approximately 80 nucleotides in length.
Source: RNAcentral
GCCAGGGUGGCGGAAUUGGUAGACGCAAGGGACUUAAAAUCCCUCGAGCUAUUGCUUGUACGGGUUCGAUUCCCGUCCCUGGUA